RNAcentral lists this ribosomal RNA (253 nucleotides) under uncultured bacterium. RNAcentral describes it as "partial 16S ribosomal RNA". It matches the Rfam family "Bacterial small subunit ribosomal RNA", at positions 524 to 776 of the family's 1533-position model. The record is from RNAcentral.
UACGUAGGGGGCUAGCGUUGUCCGGAUUUAUUGGGCGUAAAGAGCGUGUAGGCGGCCAGGUAGGUCCGGUGUGAAAACUCGAGGCUUAACCUCGAGAUGUCAUCGGAAACCAUCUGGCUAGAGUCCGGAAGGGGAAAGUGGAAUUCCUGGUGUAGCGGUGAAAUGCGCAGAUAUCAGGAAGAACACCAAUGGCGAAAGCAGCUUUCUGGGACGGUACUGACGCUGAGACGCGAAAGCGUGGGGAGCGAACAGG